GUUGUGAAGAAGGAAAUUAAAAAAAGUAACAAAAAUAUUGGGAUCUAUGUAAUUCAUAAAUUUCAAGAUCACAGAGUCAAAUGUUGUGUUGUUUCUUUGCAAAGCAAGGGCUGUGCAAAUUUUGCCUGCUGUAAAAAUAUUGCAACAGUUAAAGUGUAAUGUAGGUACAUUAGCAGAAAGCUUUCUUGUGUUAAAUUUUGAGUUAUUGAACUUGCAUGCUAAAUAUCCACUUUUUGUUUGAUAUGGACGUGCUCUGACGUCCCACAGUCUCAGCUUGUCUGGCAAAACAGAGCAAUCUGUGAAACGUGGAGACCUCUGAAGAU
Molecule: long non-coding RNA, 323 nt
Filed under: Mytilus galloprovincialis (Mediterranean mussel)
Lineage: Eukaryota; Metazoa; Mollusca; Bivalvia; Mytilida; Mytilidae
Source: RNAcentral